CAAAGGCAUGGUCCCGACCUUAUUAUCAGCUCUCACCCGACUUACACAUGCAAGUCUCCGCAGCCCUGUGAGUAUGCCCUCAAUCCCCUGUCCGGGGACGAGGAGCGGGUAUCAGGCACAAGUUUUUAGCCCAAGACACCUAGCCUUGCCACACCCCCAAGGGAAUUCAGCAGUGAUAAAUAUUAAGCCAUAAGUGAAAACUUGACUUAGUCAGGGUUAAGAGGGCCGGUAAAACUCGUGCCAGCCACCGCGGUUAGACGAGAGGCCCAAGUUGAUAGUACGCGGCGUAAAGGGUGGUUAAGGGUUGUAAACAAUAAAGCCGAAUGGCCCUUUGGCUGUUAAACGCUUCUGGGUGCCUGAAGCCCAACAUACGAAAGUAGCUUUAAAAUAGUUCACCUGACCCCACGAAAGCUGAGAACCAAACUGGGAUUAGAUACCCCACUAUGCUCAGUCGUAAACUUAGACGUCCAAUUACAAUAGACGUUCGCCCGGGUACUACGAGCAUUAGCUUGAAACCCAAAGGACCUGACGGUGCCUUAGACCCCCCUAGAGGAGCCUGUUCUAGAACCGAUAACCCUCGUUAAACCUCACCACUUCUAGCCGCCCCAGCCUAUAUACCGCCGUCGUCAGCUCACCCUGUGAAGGUCAUAAAAGUAAGCAAGAUGGGCAUAGCCCAAAACGUCAGGUCGAGGUGUAGCGUAUGAAGUGGGAAGAAAUGGGCUACAUUUUCUAUAGUAGAAUAUUACGGAUAUGCAACAUGAAAUGGUGCUUGAAGGAGGAUUUAGUAGUAAAAAGGAAGCAGAGUGUCCUUUUGAACCCGGCUCUGAGGCGCGUACACACCGCCCGUCACUCUCCCCUGUCAAAAUGCAAAACAGAUACCUAAUACCAGCGCGCAGACGAGGGGAGGCAAGUCGUAACAUGGUAAGUGUACCGGAAGGUGUACUUGGAUUAACCC
This 955-nucleotide non-coding RNA is filed under the name Semotilus corporalis (fallfish). Its description in RNAcentral is "12S ribosomal RNA". It matches the Rfam family "Bacterial small subunit ribosomal RNA". The record is from RNAcentral. Lineage: Eukaryota; Metazoa; Chordata; Actinopteri; Cypriniformes; Leuciscidae.